This 5861-nucleotide long non-coding RNA is filed under the name Homo sapiens (human). RNAcentral's name for it is "HSALNT0008323". The record is from RNAcentral. Lineage: Eukaryota; Metazoa; Chordata; Mammalia; Primates; Hominidae.
GCCUGCUGUUGUUAUAAGGAGAUACAUGUGACAGCAGGCAUGCCUGCACACAGAAGAAAGACCACGUGAGGAUACAGUAGGAAGGCAGUCAGUCAUCUGCAAGCCAAGGAGAGAGGCCUCAGGGGAAACCAAACCUACCAACACCUUGAUCUUAGACUUCUAGCCUCCAAAGCUUGUUGGGAUAUACAAUCUCCAAAAUCCUGCCUGCUCUGACAUACACACCGUGGAAGCUGUAGCAUCACUUUGCUUCAUGAAUCCUCUGGGAUUGGAAAUUCUUUAUAAGACUGUAUUAAACAAACACAACUCUUUCUGAAUCCUGCAAAACGAAACUGGACCUGGGACAAGUAUUUUAACACAAAGUUCUAUUUGUCCUCAAUCUUGUUUGGCCCUGACCAAAUGUAGGGUGUGAUUUUUUUCUUCUCCACUCCUUCUUACACAAGGCAAGACCUACUCAAACUCCAGGUUUUCAACAGGUGGGGUGAGUACAGUUUCCAUUGGUCCUACUUGUUGCCCAUUGGUAUGGUGGUUGACUACUUUUCUCAAAUCUAGAACUGAAGGGUAGAUUCACUGGCGCUGAUCUCAUUCCAAAACCCACCUUCUAGCUUACUUCUUUCUGGUCUACCCCUACUUUUUGUGGUUAACAUGCUCCUUCCAUACAACUGAGCUGUUUUUGUUUUUGUUUUUAGUGAGCUGAACAGAUUAAGUACCCACUAAGAUCAAGUUUCUUCCUUUCAACUUAAACUUCAGGACUGAACUCUAACUGAACUGCAGACGAGCAAGCAUAGGAAUGUGUAUGGAAUAUGAGCCACUUUGAUAUUGAAGUUGGCAUGCAGCAAAAGCUGACUAAAUACAUCUCCCUGAAGCAGAGGUCCACACAAAACAAUUUGGGAAAAUGAGCUCUAAAAGCCUUCAAAAGACCUCUUUCUACCUACCAUAAUUAACCAGUGUUUAAGAAAACAUGGCAGCCUUUUAGAUGUAAUAUAAUUUUACAGUUUUCAUUGUGAUUCCCAUAUUUAUAUUCCACAUAAUAGAGUGAGUUAGGAUGGACGGCCCCAUUACCCAACCAAAGGGGGACUUGGAGAGCCAAUAAUUGGCAGAGAUGUCAGUGGGACCCAGGUCUCCCAAAUCCUAGCCUGGGUGUUUUUCCACUAAACUUGGUCUUCCUCUUAGUUUUUAUAAGAAGCCCUUCAAGCUCUUGCACAUAUUUAGGUCAAAAUUACUACUUUCAGACCUAUUGUCUGAUUUGGAAGGAAAUCUUGUAAUUACAGGAUGACUUCAAAACAAUAUUCAAUUGCAUAAUAGGAGUGUGGGUUGCAUGUUUUGAGCAUUAAUAAUACUAAGAAGCCUUCCAUUUAUUUGGUUGAACAAAAAUAGUAAUCCAAUGUCCACUACCCAAAAUGGCCCAAGUAACUAUAAAAGCUACUCUAAAGGGAUGAAGAGCUGUGGGAAAUGACUAAAUAGCACUGAAAGCAGUACUCUGCUCUUUAAAAGUUCAAAAAUUAGGCAAUCUGGGUGAGAGAAAGAUGUGAUCUAAAGGAAACAGGACACAGCCCUGAACAAAUUCCAGAACUCAUAAUGUGGUCAGGUUAUACAAUCAAGUGCUAAAACCAAUUUUGGGGCAUUGCUUUAAAAAGCAUUCCUGUUGAACCCAUUUGAGGGCAGGUGGCCUCUUCAGUAUGGCCUUGCACUUGUGUAUGGCACCUGCCCUUGGCCCCAGGCACAGUGUACACUCCUUUGGUGUUGCAAGUGCCUGCCACAGAGAUCCCAGGUGGCAUUCAAGGGAUGACUCAAGGUCCCACCCAUUAAAAAUAUACCUUCCACAUGGCACUGCCUUACCCUUCGUGUAGAAGUGGAAAUAGUACAGCAUUUCUGAAGGGCACUUUGACAGUUGUAUUCAUUCAGGUAUCCAUCAUUGGACAAAGAGAUACUAAGCUACCUCUCCAUGCCAGGCACUCUGUUAACGACUGUAGAUACUGAAGUGAGCAAAGUAGACAAAAAUCUCUGCCCUUAUGGAGCUGACAUUCUAGUAUGUAUGUGGAAGUGGGGCCACGGGGAGGUGGGGAGAUAAGUUACUCUGAGGAAGCAAAGUAAAUUAAAAAGUAAUUAAUAAAUAGAAGGUAAGAAAUUCUUUGGAGAAAACUUAAGCAGUAAUGAGGACAGGGAAUGGAGGUGGGUAAGGAAAGAUCUCACUGAUAAGGUGAUACCUAUCCUAAAAUUAUGUCUAAAAGAUUAUAGCUACAAAAAAAGAAGAAAAACUGAAUGGAAACACAUAAAGUGCAAUUUGUGGUUAUCUUUAGAAGAUAUUUGCGGCAAUUUUCUGUACUGUGUUCUGCAUAUGUGUGCUUGUGUGUUUUUAAUUAGUUGGAAAUUUUGACAAUGUACUCUGGCAUCUUUAUUUCUUAAAAGACCCCACCAAGCAAUUCUGAGGCACAGUAAAAUAUAAAAUUGUUUUCUUCGCACCUUACAUUUUAAGUUCUAUGCUCAAAAAGAUUCUAGUAGUUCUGGGCAUGCUGAGUUCAACAUUUUAAGUUAUACGUAUUUUUUAAUUGCCCUGCAAUUCCCCUCAAUUGGGUUACUGAAGAAUUAUAUGUAAAUAUCUCAUAGUGCAUUGUGAGAAAUGAGUUAUGUAAUCCAUGUAAAGAGGUUAGCAUCAGGCUCAAUAAAUGUUUAGCUGCCAUCAGUGUUAUUAUUGUUAGAGGCUUAGUGGAGAACUUGCUGUUUGAUCUGGACCUUGAAAAAGAAAUGGGUAAAGGAUGUGGAUAAAGGUCAGAGGGUGGAUUAUCCAGGCAGGAAAAAUACAUUGGCAAAAACAUGAGGAAUGACCUCAUUGUGAGCAAAGGGAAGUCUCCCUUUCAUUCAGUAGACCUUUACUGAGCUAUUGGACCACAAGCUCCGGGAGUUCUGAGGCUAUGUCCACCCCGUUCACUGCUUUAUCCCAGCACUUAGUACAGCACGUUACACAAAAAGAGCUGUAAAUAUUUGUUGACUGUUCAAAGUAUUUUAACCACCACUAAAAGCAUGUUCAUUUUAGAUGUGUCCUCAGGCAGCUUCUGUGACAUCAGUUGUCAUUUUAAUAAAGAGCUAACCAGAGCCACUCUAAGAAAAUGAGUUCACCAAGAUAUAUUCAAGCUACAAUAAAAUGUAAUAAUUUUUGGAUUUGUAUGCAAUAACAACUCAUUCAUCUAGUAUGGUUAGGAAAUUAGUAACUUAUUUAUAAUGGAAACAUCCCUUUAAUGCUAAAGGUUUUCAAUUCUAUUUUAACCAAGUUGGAUGGAAAUAUUUUUAAUUUGGGGGGUUUUUUGUUUUGUUUGUUUUAACACAGGGUCUCGUUCUGUCACCCAGGCUGGAGUGCAGUGGCGUGAUCAUGGCUCACUGCAGACUCAACCUCCUGGGCUCAGGCAAUCCUCCCACCUCAAGCCUCCCGAGCAGCAGGGAUUACAGGCACACACCACCAUGCCCAGCUAAAUGUUUGUAUUUUUGUACAGAUGGGGUUUCACUAUGUUGUCUAAGCUGGUUUCGUAAUGGUGGGCUCAAGUGAUCCUCCUGCCUCUGCCUCCCAAAGUGCUGGGAUUACAGGUGUUAGCCACCAUGCCUGGCCUAUUUUUAAUUUUUAUUACAAAUAUCUGUGGCUUUUUGAACACUGCAUAUAGAACAAAAUUGAUCCCUUUAAUGAAUCUGUGUCAGUUAUGAAACACAAGCUGUGAGCAGCCAAAGACCACCUUUGACUAACAUAUUUUAUUAGAAUGUUUUAAAGUAGUCUUCCAAAUUAAAAGAAAAUUGGACAACCAGUCUUGAAAAGGUCAGGGACCAUGCAGCUCCAGGGUUCUACGUGGAAGGGAAGAAUUCAGGAUACCACCAUAAGGAUGAGCCAGCCCAGUAGCUUUGUGUUGGCUCUGCUCAACAUCCAAAUUCCUGCAAAAAGGUGACUGACUUGUCUUGGACCAUAAGCUCAGCCUUGUUCAGGAGAUGGGAAAGCUCCUUACAUGAUGGUUCCUUUGGAACAGAAUACAAAUUGGGAAGGGUAAUUUUCUGAAGAAAAAUCAUAGUGCUGCCUCCAGAGGAGAGCAGAAUGAAUGCUGAGCAUGUGAAAACACGGAAGUCCAACACAAUAAUGAAUAAUCAUUUUGAACAUCAAUUAUAGUAUUAACUUGUAAUUCAGUAAUGUUCUUGAAAACUGAUGUUUAAGGCUAUCUUUCCCCUUUAAUUAGUGGUCUCAGGCUUCUUUACUUUUUGAGUUUCUAAUUUUUAUAAUUCUCUUGUCUUUUUUUUUUUCACCUUUCAAAAUGAUUAUUUUCUUGCUACUUUUUUUUUUUUUUUUUUUUUUUGAGAUGGAGUCUCGCACUGUCGCCCAGACUGGAGUACAAUGGUGCGAUCUCGGCUCAGUUCAACCUCCACCUCCCAGGUUCAAGCAAUUCUCCUGCCUCAGCCUCCCAAGUAGCUGGGAUUACAGGUGCACGCCACUACGCCUGUCUAAUUUUUUGUAUUUUUAAUAGAGACAGGGUUUCACUAUGUUGGUCAGGCUGGUCUCAAACUCCUGACCUCGUGAUCUGCCCGCCUCGGCCUCCCAAAGUGCUGGGAUUACAGGCAUGAGCCACCGCACCUGGCCUUUUCUUGCUACUUUCAAUUUACCCACUUUGGGCAGUCUCCAUCCACUUUCUUCCUCUAUUUGGCUGUGGACUGGGAAAUGAAAUAAACAAGCUUGUUAGAUGUGUGUAUGUAAUGGGACUGUGAAUAAGUAUGAGUCUAUGAGUAAAGCACAUGAUAAAUGCAUAGACUUGGUGUCAUUUACAUUGACUGCUCAAAGACUUCUCUUGCUAAUGUUUAGUUGUUUAGCUACUUAGAUAGUGACCAGAUGAGGAAUUUCUCUGUAAAUGAUAUGCUACCAAUUAUAAGAACACAUGUCCUUUUUAUAAUUGCUUUAAAUUCAUUUUCACCAUAUCAUUGAAAGGAAGGAGAGGGCAAAUAUUUGCUCAGUUUUAAAAGUAUGAAAAAUGGAGCCACAGAGGGCUUAAGUACACUGGGGAAAGGCUAGUGCUGAGCCCCAGGUGUCCUGGUUUCCAUUUUAGAAGUUAGUUAAUAGAUUCAGCUAUGUCAAUAUCAGGAGAUGUACAGAAUCAUAGGUCAAAGACAGCUUAAAACUUCAGAGAUCACUAGGGGAUACAACAAGUGUAUGAUAUAGACAGAAAAGCACAGGGAAAAUUACAUAUGUGACUGUAAAACACACAUACGAAGCUGUUAACAGCACCCACAGAUGGGAACAAACAUUGAUUUCCCUGUUCAAUCACUUUUAGCAACAACUUGGAUAAAGAUACUGAAAAUAUGUUUAACAAUUGCAGGUGACACAAAAUUGAAAAAGAUUACCAGUAUAUUUAAUGAGAGAACCAAGAUCCUGGCUGAAACUACUGGCUAAAAUGUAAUAUUGAUUAGACAACAUGAAUUUUUCAAUUUCUUAUAAUUAUAGCUAACAUUCUAAUUUACAAACAUGAUGUAGGGGAAGUCUUACUUGACAACAAUCAUACGGGUUUUGGUUUGCUGCAAAUAAAGAAAUAAUAAUACCAUUUAUUGAAGAUAGUGCCAGCAUCAUACUAAGUGCUUUAUAUGUACUAUGUCAAGUCUCACAAUUCUAAAACAUAGGCAUCAUCAUCAUCCCCACAUUGUAAGUGAGAAACUGAUAAUUUGAGAAGUUAGAUAAAAUGCCCCGAAUCUGACAGCUAAUGAAUGUUGAAACCAGGUGUCAAAUCUACCUAAAUCCAUGUCUUAACCAAUAUGCUGCUGUUAUUAUGUAAAAAUAAAUGCCAUUAUUAAAAGAUUCAAGGAAGUCUCUUUGUACUACUCAUUUUAAUUGAAGUAUGUGAUUGUCA